RNAcentral lists this ribosomal RNA (447 nucleotides) under uncultured bacterium. RNAcentral describes it as "bacterial SSU rRNA". It matches the Rfam family "Bacterial small subunit ribosomal RNA", at positions 227 to 695 of the family's 1533-position model. The record is from RNAcentral.
GAGUCCGCCCCCCAUUAGCUAGUUGGCGGGAUAAUAGCCCACCAAGGCAACGAUGGGUAGCCGAGCUGAGAGGUUGAUCGGCCACACUGGGACUGAGAUACGGCCCAGACACCUACGGGUGGCAGCAGUAGGGAAUAUUGGACAAUGGGCGAAAGCCUGAUCCAGCCAUGCCGCGUGAGUGAUGAAGGCCUUCGGGUCGUAAAACUCUUUUCUGAGGGAAGUGACGGUACCUCAGGAAUAAGCAACGGCUAACUCCGUGCCAGCAGCCGCGGUAAUACGGAGGUUGCGAGCGUUGUUCGGAUUAACUGGGCGUAAAGGGAGCGCAGGUGGUUUGGUUAGUCUAAAGUGAAAGCCCGGGGCUUAACCUCGGAAGUGCUUUGUAUACUGCCAAACUUGAGUUCGUGAUAGGAAAGCGGAAUUCCAGGUGUAGCGGUGAAAUGCGUAGAU